UCUGACCGUGUUGACUAAUGAAUAUUUGCCCUUGCUGCAUGAUCGUGUAGUCUCAUCCAUAUGAAGGGAUGGCGCAGAGUCAACGGAAAGCAGAGAUUUGCCAAGGAAAUGGGAAACUGGAGACGAUUGCCGUUCGUCCUCCAUAGAGGAGCUGAUGAUGUGGCCAGACGCAUUGAAAGAACUAUGUCAGUGAAGUGUCCAGGCUGAUGUGUGGCAGAUAACAUCACUGACACUAGUGAAAGCAUGCGGCUGCCCUGCUUUUCAGUGAGAUGGAGAUCUUCUGAUACAUGGACUGGCUGAGUACAUGUUUGCAGCUACGGGGCCUGAGUAACAUGGAUCUCCCAAGAUAGCUCCACAUACAUUGAAGUCUUGUCACAUAUAUUCAAGAUAAGGAGUAUGUGAAAUAUGCCAAGAUUAUACUGUGGCUGACUGCAAUUCGUAGAUCAUUGGUCUCCAGUAAACCCAGCUAGCAUCCUGCAGAUAUCAAGAGAAUCCUGAUCCUCACAGCAUGCUGCUGCUGCUGAAUGUCAUCUUGGGUAACAUCAAUGGAUUAUUCCACAUUAUACACUGUUUUUCGUAUUCUGCAUAAUACAAUGACAACUAUGUUUAUUAUCGUAUUUUGUCCUUAACAACUUUAAUCAGUGCUGUACAAGAGUUUGAUAGAAAAAAUAAUGAAUAUAGUUAACUACCUUGCUUGGUUAGGACCCGAACCCACGACUUGCUUAUUUGUGCAGGUAUUAACUGCUCAACGGCUGAGCUUAGCUGAUUUAGAAUCUUAUAAAGCAGUGGUUAUUGCAUGAUAAUAUGUUACAUCGACCUAAAUUACCCAAUUCAAAUCAUAAAUUGUUUGACAAUUCUUAAAUACUAUACCAAAACACGUUUUAGGGAGUUUUCUCCUGUGAAUUUAAUUGAAGGGUAAUAUAUUCUUAUUUUUUGGUGUUUUUUUGGUCACAAUCAACACUGUUAAUUGCUUCACUGAAUGAAAUACGCACUAUUUUUUUU
Patiria miniata (bat star) is the source of this 1002-nucleotide long non-coding RNA. RefSeq lists it as uncharacterized. Lineage: Eukaryota; Metazoa; Echinodermata; Asteroidea; Valvatida; Asterinidae. The record is from RefSeq and is a predicted model, not a curated record. The transcript is spliced from 3 exons.